CAGUCGCCGCGGUAAAACGGAGGGUGCAAGCGUUAUCCGGAUUCACUGGGUUUAAAGGGUGCGUAGGCGGAUCUGUAAGUCAGUGGUGAAAUCUCCAGGCUUAACCUGGAAACUGCCGUUGAUACUAUAGGUCUUGAAUUUUGUGGAGGUUAGCGGAAUAUGUCAUGUAGCGGUGAAAUGCAUAGAUAUGACAUAGAACACCAAUUGCGAAGGCAGCUGGCUACACAACUAUUGACGCUGAGGCACGAAAGCGUGGGGAUCAAACAGGAUUAGAUACCCCGGUAGUCCCUGUCUCUUAUAA
RNAcentral lists this ribosomal RNA (301 nucleotides) under uncultured bacterium. RNAcentral's name for it is "partial 16S ribosomal RNA". It matches the Rfam family "Bacterial small subunit ribosomal RNA", at positions 509 to 809 of the family's 1533-position model. The record is from RNAcentral.